This 497-nucleotide ribosomal RNA is filed under the name uncultured bacterium. RNAcentral describes it as "partial 16S ribosomal RNA". It matches the Rfam family "Bacterial small subunit ribosomal RNA", at positions 28 to 507 of the family's 1533-position model. The record is from RNAcentral.
GAUGAACGCUGGCGGCGUGCCUAACACAUGCAAGUCGAGCGAACAGAUGAGGAGCUUGCUCCUCUGACGUUAGCGGCGGACGGGUGAGUAACACGUGGAUAACCUACAUAUAAGACUGGGAUAACUUCGGGAAACCGGAGCUAAUACCGGAUAAUAUAUUGAACCGCAUGGUUCAAUAGUGAAAGACGGUUUUGCUGUCACUUAUAGAUGGAUCCGCGCCGCAUUAGCUAGUUGGUAAGGUAACGGCUUACCAAGGCAACGAUGCGUAGCCGACCUGAGAGGGUGAUCGGCCACACUGGAACUGAGACACGGUCCAGACUCCUACGGGAGGCAGCAGUAGGGAAUCUUGCGCAAAGGGCGAAAGCCUGACGGAGCAACGCCGCGUGAGUGAUGAAGGUCUUCGGAUCGUAAAACUCUGUUAUUAGGGAAGAACAAAUGUGUAAGUAACUAUGCACGGCUUGACGGUACCUAAUCAAAAAGCCACGGCUAACUACGUG